UAUAGUUUGAAAAACUAAAACCUCCCUUUUAUUAUUGCCAUUCGUUCUGUCAUCAGGUAUGUAACUUGAGAAUAGAAAUCGCUGCAUCUUUUAGGCGCAUCAAUAUUACAUAGUUACAUCCCGAGCUAAUAGAAGGAAGGUAAAAAGGACCAACGUCUUUCCACCAAAUUCCUAAA
Long non-coding RNA from Rhagoletis zephyria (snowberry fruit fly), 176 nucleotides. RefSeq lists it as uncharacterized. The record is from RefSeq and is a predicted model, not a curated record. Lineage: Eukaryota; Metazoa; Arthropoda; Insecta; Diptera; Tephritidae.